CCCCUAGAUGUUCUGGGCCGCACGCGCGCUACACUGAACAGUUCAACAAGUCUUAACCUUGGCCGAUAGGUCUGGGUAAUCUUUGAACGCUGUUCGUGAUUGGGAUAGACCUUUGCAAUUAUGGGUCUUCAACGAGGAAUUCCUAGUAAACGCAAGUCAUCAGCUUGCAUUGAUUACGUCCCUGCCCUUUGUACACACCGCCCGUCGCACCUACCGAUUGAAUGGUCCGGUGAGGCCCCCGGAUUGUGGCAAUGGCUCUGGUUCGCCAGACCAAUGCUGCGAGAAGCUGUCCAAACCUUAUCAUUUAGAGGAAGGAGAAGUCGUAACA
This 328-nucleotide ribosomal RNA is filed under the name uncultured eukaryote. Its description in RNAcentral is "partial 18S ribosomal RNA". It matches the Rfam family "Eukaryotic small subunit ribosomal RNA", at positions 1470 to 1796 of the family's 1831-position model. The record is from RNAcentral.